Molecule: long non-coding RNA, 826 nt
Filed under: Homo sapiens (human)
Lineage: Eukaryota; Metazoa; Chordata; Mammalia; Primates; Hominidae
Description: HSALNT0332725
Source: RNAcentral
CUGAAGGUGAAUAAACACUAAUUUGUUUGCGUGUGAAUAAGGCAUCAUUUAUGUAGCAACUUCUACAGAUUGGGUACUGGAGAUUUUUCCAAAACGAAUAAUGCUCCUGCUUUUGAGCUUACAAUGUAGUAGGAAAGAUAAACAGAGUGUGAUAAGUGACAUCAUAAAGGCACAAACAAAUUCCUGUGAGCACAAAGUGGAAAGCCCCUGAGCUGGAAAAUAGCACUGAGGUGGUUUCAUGAAAGAGGAAGCAGCAAGGCUGGGCCUUGAAGAACGUGAAGGAGUCACCCAGCUAGAGAGGGCAGGAGGGUGUUCCACGAAGUACAAACAUCAUGAACAGAAAGUCAAAGAGUGAAAGUGAAGGGAGGAUUGGGGAGCAGUGAACAGACAAUGUGAGAGAGCUGCGGCACCAUGGAGAAGAGUAAUGAGAGGGACAUCCUGAAGGAAAGACAAUAUGAAGGACUGUCGAUGCCAAAGAAAGGACUUUCAGCCAUAUGCACGCAAUGGGGAGCAAUGCAAGAUUGUCAACCAAGAGACUGAGGUGCUGCUACCACAAACAUGAGGAAACUUCUGUUAGGAGUUCAACCUUCAGAGAGGACAGCUGGCAGUGCAAGAUGGUGACAGCCCUGCAAUCAGGAGAAGAAAGUCAUGAGAGUAAGGAAUGAUGGAGAGGGAUGAGAGCGUUUUCUAGGAUUUGAAGAGUUAAGAGACUCUGAAUAAUUGGCAGGGGAAGCUGGGAUGGAGAACAAAGUAGGAGAAGAAUCAUUUGCUGUGAACUCUGUAUUUGGAUUCCAUUUUUGAUGAUCUUUGAAAAUGGGAAUAAAGG